Molecule: long non-coding RNA, 338 nt
Organism: Carlito syrichta (Philippine tarsier)
Lineage: Eukaryota; Metazoa; Chordata; Mammalia; Primates; Tarsiidae
Exons: 2
Source: RefSeq, a predicted model, not a curated record
AGCCCACGUUGUGCCAGCGGAGGCCCCCGAAGGCGCGCCCAACCGAAUGAAGCGCGUCCGCAGCGAGGGAGAGAGGCCAAGCGGCGAGACAAGAGCAGGCCAAACAUACUUUACAUGAUGUUCAACCUGCACUUGGAUUUAUCACCAGGACAGCCAGAGCAUGGAGUUCCUGGUCCAAACCAACACCUUUUUUAAAGCCUGUGAUCUCAACGUUAUCUUAACAAAAAAAAUACAAUUUCCCUUUUUCUAUCUGUUGCCCAUGUAACAUUUUGCAGCAUUCAUCGGCCUGUUUUCCGUUUUAUGAAUAAAUUCAUCAAAAUCGAUCAAAGGCUACCAAA